CUAAGGAGCAUUCUCCAGUGAGCGUCUCGAACAGUCGAGAUCGCUCCUGGCAGAGACAGUUUCGGACUCACAUGUAGUCCGGCUGAAGCUCAUGGGUGGAACGCUGACAAGUUUCAUCGCAUCAUGCUCGGUCCUCAGCGGUCGAGCGCGGUGAAUAUAUCGACACACUGUUGGGUCCUGAAAGAACAGACGUUCUUUCCAGGCAAGAUAACGACGAGGCUGAUCUUCAGUCAUACCGCCGAGAGUUUUCUCGGGCUGGUGCUGGGUAAAAGGUCGGGCUUGUGUGUUGUUUGAGAACUGCACAGUGGACGCGAGCAUCUUUGUUAGUAAGUGUGUAAGAGCGUAC
Molecule: unclassified non-coding RNA, 346 nt
Filed under: Nocardia otitidiscaviarum
Lineage: Bacteria; Bacillati; Actinomycetota; Actinomycetes; Mycobacteriales; Nocardiaceae
Description: 16S-23S ribosomal RNA intergenic spacer
Source: RNAcentral